Molecule: ribosomal RNA, 253 nt
Filed under: uncultured bacterium
Lineage: Bacteria
Description: partial 16S ribosomal RNA
Rfam family: Bacterial small subunit ribosomal RNA
Source: RNAcentral
UACAGAGGUCUCAAGCGUUGUUCGGAUUCAUUGGGCGUAAAGGGUGCAUAGGUGGUUGGGUAAGUCAAAUGUGAAAUCCCGGAGCUCAACUCCGGAACUGCAUUCGAUACUGCCCGGCUCGAGGAUUGGAGAGGAGACUGGAAUUCACGGUGUAGCAGUGAAAUGCGUAGAGAUCGUGAGGAACACCCGUGGCGAAGGCGGGUCUCUGGACAAUUCCUGACACUGAGGCACGAAGGCCAGGGGAGAAAACGGG